Molecule: ribosomal RNA, 574 nt
Filed under: uncultured Aspergillus
Lineage: Eukaryota; Fungi; Ascomycota; Eurotiomycetes; Eurotiales; Aspergillaceae
Description: eukaryotic LSU rRNA
Rfam family: 5.8S ribosomal RNA (bases 194-347)
Source: RNAcentral
AUCAUUACCGAGUGCGGGUCCUUUGGGCCCAACCUCCCAUCCGUGUCUAUUAUACCCUGUUGCUUCGGCGGGCCCGCCGCUUGUCGGCCGCCGGGGGGGCGCCUUUGCCCCCCGGGCCCGUGCCCGCCGGAGACCCCAACACGAACACUGUCUGAAAGCGUGCAGUCUGAGUUGAUUGAAUGCAAUCAGUUAAAACUUUCAACAAUGGAUCUCUUGGUUCCGGCAUCGAUGAAGAACGCAGCGAAAUGCGAUAACUAAUGUGAAUUGCAGAAUUCAGUGAAUCAUCGAGUCUUUGAACGCACAUUGCGCCCCCUGGCAUUCCGGGGGGCAUGCCUGUCCGAGCGUCAUUGCUGCCCAUCAAGCCCGGCUUGUGUGUUGGGUCGUCGUCCCCCCCGGGGGACGGGCCCGAAAGGCAGCGGCGGCACCGUGUCCGGUCCUCGAGCGUAUGGGACUUUGUCACCCGCCCGAUUAGGGCCGGCCGGGCGCCAGCCGACGUCUCCAACCAUUUUCUUCAGGUUGACCUCGGAUCAGGUAGGGAUACCCGCUGAACUUAAGCAUAUCAAUAAGCGGAGGA